Molecule: long non-coding RNA, 1711 nt
Filed under: Pongo abelii (Sumatran orangutan)
Lineage: Eukaryota; Metazoa; Chordata; Mammalia; Primates; Hominidae
Description: lincRNA
Rfam family: Maternally expressed 3 conserved region 2 (bases 512-616)
Source: RNAcentral
GCAGAGAGGGAGCGCGCCUUGGCUCGCUGGCCUUGGCUGCGGCUCCUCGGGAGAGCUGGGGCGCCCACGAGAGGAUCCCUCACCUGGGUCUCUCCUCAGGGAUGACAUCAUCCGUCCACCUCCUUGUCUUCAAGGACCACCUCCUCUCCAUGCCGAGCUGCUGCCAAGGGGCCUGCUGCCCAUCUACACCUCACGAGGGCACUAGGAGCACGGAUUCCUGGAUCCCACCAACAUACAAAGCAGCCACUCACAGACCCCCAGGACCAGGAUGGCAAAGGAUGAAGAGGACCGGAACUGACCUGCCAGCUGUCCCUCUUACCUAAAGACUUAAACCAAUGCCCUAGUGAGGGGGCAUUGGACAUUAAGCCCUGACUUUUGCUAUGCUCAUGCUUUGACUCUAUGAGUACUUUCCUAUAAGUCUUCGCUUGUGUUCACCUGCUAGCAAACUGGAGUGUUUCCCUCCCCAAGGGGGUGUCAGUCUUUGUCGACUGACUCUGUCAUCACCCUUAUGAUGUCCUGAAUGGAAGGAUCCCUUUGGGAAAUUCUCAGGAGGGGGACCUGGGCCAAGGGCUUGACCAGCAUCCUGCUGGCAACUCCAAGGCCCUGGGUGGGCUUCUGGAAUGAGCAUGCUACUGAAUCACCAAAGGCAUGCCCCACCUCUCUGGAGAUCUUCCUAUCCUUUUCUGGGGAAUGGGGUCAAUGGGAGCAACCUCCUAGGGUUGUUGUGAGAAUUAAAUGAGAUAAAAGAGGCCUCAGGCAGGAUCUGGCAUAGAGGAGGUGAUCAGCAAAUGUUUGUUGAAAAGGUUUGACAGGUCAGUCCCUUCCCACCCCUCUUGCUUGUCUUACUCGUCUUAUUUAUUCUCCAACAGCACUCCAGGCAGCCCUUGUCCACGGGCUCUCCUUGCAUCAGCCAAGCUUCUUGAAAGGCCUGUCUACACUUGCUGUCUUCCUUCCUCACCUCCAAUUUCCUCUUCAACCCACUGCUUCCUGACUCGCUCUACUCCGUGGAAGGGCACUCACAAAGGUUCCCAGUGCCCCCGACAAGCCCCUGCUGGUGUCUCCAUCUCCUGCCAAGCAUCCUGCAAUGCCGCCUCCUGUGGGCCUGGCCUCAGGGCUAUGGACAGACUCCUGUCCCAUCCCAGAGACCCCUCGUGAUCGUGCCCUGGCACGUGGGCCGCGGCCCAGCUGGGUCGGCUGAAGAACUGCGGAUGGAAGCUGUGGAAGAGGCCCUGAUGGGGCCCACCAUCCCGGACCCGAGUCUUCUUCCUGGAGGGCCUCUCGUCUCCUUCCUGUUUUGGGCGGAAGCCAUCACCUGGAUUCCUACGUGGGAAGGGACCUCGAAUGUGCGACCCCAGCCCCUCUCCAGCUCGAAAUCCCUCCACAGCCACGGGGACGCCCUGCACCUAUUCCCACGGGACAGGCUGGACCCAGAGACUCUGGACCCGGGGCCUCCCCUUGAGUAGAGACCCGCCCUCUGACUGAUGGACGCCGCUGACCUGGGGUCAGACCCGAGGGCUGGACCCCUGCCCACCCCGCAGGAACCCUGAGGCCUAGGGGAGCUGUUGAGCCUUCAGUGUCUGCAUGUGGGAAGUGGGCUCGUUCACCUACCUCACAGGGCUGUUGUGAGGGGCGCUGUGAUGCGGUUCCAAAGCACAGGGCUUGGCGCACCCCACUGUGCUCUCAAUAAAUGUGUUUCCUGUCUUAACAAAAA